ACUCCUACGGGAGGCAGCAGUAGGGAAUCUUCCACAAUGGGCGCAAGCCUGAUGGAGCAACACCGCGUGAGUGAAGAAGGGUUUCGGCUCGUAAAGCUCUGUCGUUAAAGAAGAACACGUAUGAGAGUAACUGUUCAUACGUUGACGGUAUUUAACCAGAAAGUCACGGCUAACUACGUGCCAGCAGCCGCGGUAAUACGUAGGUGGCAAGCGUUAUCCGGAUUUAUUGGGCGUAAAGAGAGUGCAGGCGGUUUUCUAAGUCUGAUGUGAAAGCCUUCGGCUUAACCGGAGAAGUGCAUCGGAAACUGGAUAACUUGAGUGCAGAAGAGGGUAGUGGAACUCCAUGUGUAGCGGUGGAAUGCGUAGAUAUAUGGAAGAACACCAGUGGCGAAGGCGGCUACCUGGUCUGCAACUGACGCUGAGACUCGAAAGCAU
Molecule: ribosomal RNA, 435 nt
Filed under: uncultured bacterium
Lineage: Bacteria
Description: bacterial SSU rRNA
Rfam family: Bacterial small subunit ribosomal RNA
Source: RNAcentral